CCUACGGGAGGCAGCAGUGGGGAAUAUUGCACAAUGGGGGAAACCCUGAUGCAGCGACGCCGCGUGAGUGAAGAAGUAACUCGUUAUGUAAAGCUCUAUCAGUAGGGAAGAAAAUUACGGUAUGUGAGCAAGAAGCCCUGGCUAAUUCCGGGCCAGCAGCCGCGGUAAUACGCAGGGGGCAAGCGUUAUCCGGAUUUACGGGGUGUAAAGGGAGCGUAGACGGGAGUGCAAGUCAGGUGUGAAAGGCGGGGGCUCAACCCCCGGACUGCACUGGAAACUGUACGGCUGGAGUGCAGGAGAGGUAGGUGGAAUUCCUAGUGUAGCGGUGAAAUGCGUAGAUAUUAGGAAGAACACCAGUGGCGAAGGCGGCUUACUGGACUGUAACUGACGUUGAGGCUCGAAAGCGUGGGGAGCAAACAGGAUUAGAUACCCCAGUAGUC
RNAcentral lists this ribosomal RNA (440 nucleotides) under uncultured bacterium. Its description in RNAcentral is "partial 16S ribosomal RNA". It matches the Rfam family "Bacterial small subunit ribosomal RNA", at positions 338 to 795 of the family's 1533-position model. The record is from RNAcentral.